Zingiber officinale is the source of this 106-nucleotide small nucleolar RNA. RefSeq annotates it as small nucleolar RNA Z157/R69/R10. The record is from RefSeq and is a predicted model, not a curated record. The transcript has a single exon. NCBI's taxonomy places the organism in Eukaryota, Viridiplantae, Streptophyta, Magnoliopsida, Zingiberales, Zingiberaceae.
GGUUGGACAAUGAUGAUGCCUUUUUUUGUAGACUAGAGUCUCUGAUCUCUCGCCAUUAUUAUGUCCGAGAGGUUGAUGACUAUCCCUUGGCUGUCUGAGUUUAACC